RNAcentral lists this non-coding RNA (91 nucleotides) under Alkalimonas amylolytica. RNAcentral describes it as "c-di-GMP-I riboswitch aptamer". It matches the Rfam family "c-di-GMP-I riboswitch aptamer". Rfam says of the family: GEMM was predicted in a large-scale screen for bacterial structured RNA regulatory elements. Genes associated with GEMM are involved in a diverse array of functions, including chemotaxis regulation, signal transduction, secretion and chitin. The record is from Rfam by way of RNAcentral. Lineage: Bacteria; Pseudomonadati; Pseudomonadota; Gammaproteobacteria.
CACUUCGAAAGGCAAGACAUCCGAAAGGGUGAUCGCGCAAAGCUUCAGAUCUAACGGAAACUCUGUUUCCCAUGAUAGCUGGGCUGCCAUU